UACGUAGGGUGCGAGCGUUGUCCGGAAUUACUGGGCGUAAAGAGCUCGUAGGUGGUUUGUCGCGUUGUUCGUGAAAACCUGCAGCUUAACUGUGGGCUUGCGGUCGAUACGGGCAUCACUGGAGUUCGGCAGGGGAGACUGGAAUUCCUGGUGUAGCGGUGAAAUGCGUAGAUAUCGGAAGGAACAUCAGUGGCGAAAGCGACUUCCUGGACCAGUACCGACGUUCAGGCACGAAAGCGUGGGGAGCAAACAGG
RNAcentral lists this ribosomal RNA (254 nucleotides) under uncultured bacterium. RNAcentral's name for it is "partial 16S ribosomal RNA". It matches the Rfam family "Bacterial small subunit ribosomal RNA", at positions 524 to 776 of the family's 1533-position model. The record is from RNAcentral.